Astatotilapia calliptera (eastern happy) is the source of this 6719-nucleotide long non-coding RNA. The record is from Ensembl. Lineage: Eukaryota; Metazoa; Chordata; Actinopteri; Cichliformes; Cichlidae.
CUGACACGGAAUACAGACUGAGAGAGCAGCUCAUGAAAAAAAACACACCCGAUGUCACGCUGACUAGUGUUUGAUCUAGUCAGGUUUAAUUCUGUCCUUCCUAGGGGAAAAAAAACCCAUUGUCGUUUUGAAAUUUAGCACAGUUUUAAGGUGCAUCAAGUUAGCUUUAGAUGACGAGAAGUGGAUGAAAUGCCUCCUGGGCCAUGGGCGUCUCUCUGUUGGAUUUUACUCUCUGUCUGCCUCCUGUUUGCCUCUACAGGUGAGACUGAUCUUGCUUUAAGUUCAACAGGAUUCACAACACAACCCUAGGAGCAUCAGUUUUCUGUCUGAUGCUUCCUGCUACUCCUGUUUCAUUCAUACUGUUUUAUUUAAAUCAUUUUCUAACUCCGUGACUCUGUAGAGAUUGAGGCUACGUCCACACGUACCCGGGUAUUUUUGAAAACGCAGAUAUUUCUAUGCGUUUGCACCUUUCCUCCUCUGUGAGAUGUUCUCAAUCAUUGCCAGGUCUUUAUCACUUGAGUUCUGUCUUGCUGGGGUCGCAGACUUCUGCAAAAAGUCUCAUCGAGCUCUGGGUUGGUUUAGGUGGAUUUGGAGGUAUACUGCAACUGAUGCUGUAGAUGCAGUGGCAGCAACAGUUGCAGUAGACACACUGGCACCUUCAUUAAUAUCACACUCAACUGACUGUUUUAUAUUCCUAUUGCACUGAUGGGUGGACAGUUCUCAGGUGCCUGUGCAGGUUGUUUGUGGAGCCGGCUCUGUAUGAUAUCUUUUUCUUACAGACUUUACACUCUGUCUUUGUUUUCAGUAAAAUUGAAAUUGCUCCAGAUUUUGCUUCUUUUCUUGGUGUCACUCAUUUUUAUUACCAUGCCUUUCUAAUGUGUUGAUGUUGUGUCUUGUUGCCCCUGGCUCUCUUUCUCUCUUUCACACUCUGUUCCUAUGCUACUGCGAGUGUAACCACCACCCCUCCCCCCUCUGCUCAGCGCAAACACAAGGCUCAAGUGCGGUGUGAAGUGAAAAUAGUGAGACAGAGCGGGUGAGAGAAAGGGGAAAAGAAACACAGCUCGUUAUUCGUUACUUCGUGUGGUGGCUAUUGCGGAGCUUCCACAGAUUCAGUAACAUUAGCAAGUGGUGGAGGCCAGCAGGUGGAUGAGGGAAAUGGUGAGGCGGCCUGAGGCGGCCGCUGUCCAAGUGUCAGGUGAACUGAAUUCCAGGUAAGAAGUUAUGACCUGCAGUCUAUCUGGGUCAGUUCAGGUAUAGUUUAUUUUAGUUAUGCUGACUUUUUUGUAGCAUAACUAUGAAAAAGUCAGUACUAUUUGUUUUGUGGAAAUAUGGACUUUAUUUUUUUCCUUUCUAUUGGUAGGUGGCACAGUGCACUUGAGGCAAGUAAGCAAGCUAGAAGACUGGCACUCUUGCUGGAUAUCCAGUUACGGAAGCAACACAUUAACAAGAGAAUUCUGAGUAAAACCAAAGUUACCUUCCUGAGUAACUAGUUACUCUGAAAGUAAUGACUAACUUGAAGUAACUGAGUUACUUUUGAUAGAAGUAACUAGUAAUGUAACUAAGUUACUAAUUUAAAGUAACUUACCCAACACUGCUCACUUCAAAGAUACGGCUCUAAGAGCAUUUUCGUUCACAACUGACACAUCACUACAUGGGGCACACUCACCCUUGACCCACCUGCUUUCCAAGGUAGGUGAUGGUUGCAUGGUGCAUGUGGCACACAACCGACUGUAAGCAACAACAUGUUUUUUUUUUAAAACCAGGCCAAAAGAAGUUGCUCAGCACUCAGUAAUACUUUUUAUUUAUUCCGAGAUGCCAUGCCCAUAUCAUGUGCUAAGCUUAGCACCUGAUUACAAUGAUGGGAUUGUACCACCACCUGCAUGACGUUCAAUGUUCCACUAAUCUGAGGACCACCACCUCGUGAGCAGGCCAUCCUGCAGUAAAAAACGGGGAAUGGUUGCGCUUUGCCCAGAAGCGAAAGUGGCGGCAAAACAGGAACUCAAAGACUUGCCAUUUCUCUGAGUGCUUACCAAAGCUUCUUUACUCACAUCUCCAAUUCCAGCAUUAAUUUUACCACACUUCGUUCCAUUUUCAUACUGUCUCUCUCUUACAAAAGGCUUUUGCCCUGUAGCCACAAACGUAUCCGCGAUACUAAAAUCAGCAAAUUUGCACUCUUGCGCCCAUGUGACAGUUUGACAGCUUAGAGCUCCACAUUAUUGGUGGGAUAAGUUUAUCAGGAUGGCUUCAAAAUCUGCAACCACAAGUGUUUAGAUUUCCAUCGGAUCUCAAGAGGAACAAACGAAUAACUCAGACUUACAAAUGGACUGCAAGUCAGAAAACUAGGGAAUGUGACGACCUCCCUGACUAAGGCCCAUAAACGUCGUGUUCACAUCAUACACACACUUAUAUUUCUACUCUCCCUGGAUGUUUUCCACUCUGUGCUGCUAUUGUAAGUCUUCUUGGUCCUUGUGGGGUGAUCGUGGCUCAAGAGUUGGGAGUUCACCUUGUAAUCAGAGGGUUGCCGGUUCGAGCCUCGGCUUGGACAGUCUUGGUCGUUGUGUCCUUGGGCACUUCACCCGUUGCCUACUGGUGGUGGUCAGAGGGCCCGGUGGCACCAGUGUCUGGCAACUUCGCCUCUGUCAGUGCGCCCCAGGGUGGCUGUGGCUACAAUGUAGCUUGCCAGUAAAGUAAUAGUAGUAGUAGUAAAGCACUAUACAAAUACAGACUAUUUACCAGACCAUUUGUACUCAAUGCAUUUGGUUCAGACGUUAAUAAUAUUAACUCAUACAUCCAGGUAAAGCUAUUGAUAGUGAUGUGACGUUCUGUAUCGAGGCUUCGGAGCGUGUGUCGAGUAAUGGAGGGGGCGUUUCCGCGAUGCGCGUAUCGAGGCUUGCUUCAUUUAUGGGAGGAGCUGAAAAUGAUGACGUCCGAAGCCUCGCUGCCCGGCUGUACCACGUGACUGGUUCAUGAAGUGGUUCGAACUUUGCCGCGAGCUAUGACAGCGAUAUAAACCCCUCAGAUUUCAUUCAAAAUGUGGGUGUUUGAUGGAGAGUUGCGGUUAGUGAGAGUUUGGAGACCGUUUGGAGGUUUAUGAGAGUGAGGAGAGAAAGUCAGGAGAGAAUGGAGCCAGCUAAGAAGAGGAGGAUGUCCUCUCCUGUGUGGGAACAUUUUGAUCUUAUUCCUCCCAACAAGGUGAAGUGUUUGCUAUGUGCCAGGGAGCUGGGAUAUAACAACAACACCUCAUCCAUGCUUACGCACUACAGAGCUUUGCAUGAGAAUAAGGGGAACACCGAUUGUGGAGCAAGACCAGGAGAACAAUCUCAAAUAGAUGAAGACCUGGUCAGCAUGGUGAUUGAGGACUCCCAGCCAUUUAGCAUUGUGGAGGACAAAGGAUUCAAAAGAUUUGUUAAAUCAUUAAAUCCUAGCUAUGUUCUCCCCACUAAAAAGGUCAUAAAAGCAGUGAAAAUUUAGUUUUUACAGAAUAAAAUGUGAACAGGCAGGACUGAGGCUCAAAGCCUCAGUGUGUAGCUGUCCAUACCUCAACGUUACAAAAGCACAACCACUGUCCACACCUCACCUCACAGUAAAUGAUCAUUUCCAUUUUAAGCAUUUCCAAAUAAUCAUUUUCCAUACUGCCAGUAUAAAUAUACACACUAUACUGCCAUCAAUACAAUAUAGAUGUUUUACACACUCCUUUUGUUGUUGAUAUUUACAGGCUGUGUGCAAAAUGCCACACUCUUCAAAUUCAUGCCAACUAAUAUUUUUACGUCCAGUAGGUGUCCUCCUAGAGCAAAUGAAGCUUCAAGAAGCUUUGCGCUGGGGUGAACCAAUUGGAUGAAAAGCUUCAGUGCUUCAUGAAGCUUCAUCUGCCCAUCACUAGCUAUUGAUCCAAGAUUGUUAGGUGUGGCUGUGUGCAGGCAGGAAUAGGACCCAAGGUGCAGACUCCGGAGACAGAACUUAAACCAAAACAGCUUUAAUGCUGAACGCAAACAUAACAUAACUGGAAAAACUCAAAAAAAACAAACUAACACCAGCAGAUUGACAAAACACACAGCAACGUAAACGGUAGAUCGCGACACAGACACCAAGAAACACAGGGCUUAAAUACACAGAGGGAGCAAUCAGGGAAUGGGUAACAGGAGGGAAACACAGCUGGGGCAAAUCAGGCCUAACGAGACAAGGGGAAGCAAAACCAGACACAUUAACAUCAGACAUGGACUUUCAAAGUAAAACAGGAAACAUAACACAGACUCACGGGCAGGCACUAUAACAAAGGGAACAGAGACGUGGGAACAGGGCAGACACAAACAUUGACUGAACACGGGGAUAUAGGAACUUAGGAUACACAUAGACGCGAACUAGACAAGGGGAUGCAGGUGAUAGGGGAGACAGAGCAACUAAAGAAGACAGAGACCUAAGCCAUAAGACAGAACUCAAAGAAACCAAAAACUAGAAAGUAUAAAUAAUAUCAUAAACUCAAAAACGCUGGGUCGACGACCCAGGCAUCCCAACAAAGAUUGAGUAAGGAAUAACACACACUAGAUCUGUCUUAUUUAGAAUAUGAAAAUAUGAAACGUAUUUCAAGUUUUUGACAAAUAUACGCAUCCAUUGAUCAGUGAAGUGUCCAUAUUUGCUAUUACUAACACACAGUUAUCCUAUAGAGUUUGAGUCAGUCCAAACUUAAAGUAAUUAUUUUUGUGGUCAAUUGCAAGAAAACUGUAACUUUUGUUAGAGCUACUUCCAUUAGCUUUAAUAGCUUUAAUAAAUGGGAUUUCCAUCCCGAAAUGCAUGCCAAAUAAUUUACAUUUCAAUUCAAAAAGAUGAAAUUAGGUUUCUUUAGUUCAGCACAUCUAUCUCUCUGUUUGCUCCUCACUGUGUACAAACACUUUUCUCCUUUUUCAGAUGGGAAAAUCAUCAAAGCUGAGCCUGGACAGAACGUCACUCUGCCAUGUCGAACUCCACAUAUCAGCGUUCCCAUCAGAGCUGUGGUGGAGUGGUUCAGACUUGACCUGCAGGAAGGACAUGUCCUUAUGUACCGGGAUGAGCAGUUUAUUUCAAUGAACCAGCUUCCAUCGUUUGUGAACCGGGUGGAUCUGCAGGACAGACAGAUGAAGGACGGAGACGUGUCUUUGAUUCUGAAGGACGUGACAAGUGACGACACUGGAACAUUUCAGUGUUACGUGGUCCAGAGAGGAACAAAUGGCAGGAAAAGCACUGUUGAUCAUAUCAGCACCGUCUACCUGAGAGUUGUAGGGAGCAGCGAUGGACAUCCAACAAUGAAAUGUAGACGUUUAACACAAAUACAAUUGAAUUUUUUAGCGUUUUUCUCUUCUUUACUUAGAAGUAUUGUUAAGGAGAUUUAAAAACAAAGUUAAUUUUCAUUGUCUUCUUCAUUAUUACGUUGCUGUUAAAAGGUAAUAAUGCCAAUGAAGUCCGUAUAGUGCAGCCAGUCCCUUAAACACUGCUGCAAUCCACUUUCACCAAAAUAAGUUUUCUCCUAAGUUUUUUUUUUUCUUUUAUCACUUUUGAUCUUUGAUUAUUUGCUUGCUGAGGUUAAUUCGUGAUUAACAGCUUUGAUUCUGCUGUUUGGAAACGUGUGCUCCAGUUUAGUUUAUUUCCAGCAGUAAUAAAUUUGUUAAAUGUUGGGUCUGUGUUUCCACAUGCCCCGCUAGUUUAGAGACUUAUUCCUCAUGACAAACACAAGACAUAGCAGAACAUCUUCAACCGGUUAUUAACUCGCUAACGAAGGAGAGCUUUGGUCUGAACCAGGCGGUGGAGCAUAAUGCUCAUCACUCUCUAGCCCAAAUCCUUCAAAGAGCAGCUGUCCUCGUAGCCUUUUUAUUGACAUGACAUUUACAGUACACAUGACAACACAACACAAGCACCUCCCAUCGUAAACCCCCCCCCCCCCCCCCCCCUUGGUCCUAAGACAAGGCAUUAUAUGUGUGUGUGUGACAAAUAACUUUGUUGUUUGCAAAACUUGUGCAUAGGAUUUUAAAAUUGACAAUUUAUACUUGUAUUUAAAGUUAUGAAAUAUGAUUCAUUAAACAUGUUUGUGGUUGUUACAGUAAAAAAUAUAACUUUUUUCUACUCUGAUUUUAUGUUUUUUUCUGAUUUUAGAUCUAUUGUGUUAAUACAAUAAAUGUACAAAUGAAAACAAGGCAAAGUAAAUAGUUUUUAAAGGUAAAAUGUGGAGGGACAAUCAAAAGUAGUUAAAAAUGGCCAAUUAUACCCUGGACCCCAGAGGGUUAAACAUUUUUUUCAAAGUAACUCAAUAGUUACUUUUCAAGUAAUUAAUUAAUUUUAGAAUAUUGUAACUCAGUUACUAACUCAGUUACUUUUUGAAGAAGUAACUAGUAACUAUAAUUAAUUACUUUUUCAAAGUAACUUGCCCAACACUGCCCACAUCUAAAAACUCUCUCUCUCUCUCUCUCCCUAACUUGCUCACUCUGUCUCCUGCCCUGCCUUCCCCUCUUCCUAAACAACCCUGGUGGUGACUUUUCUUUUUAAUUGGUGGACAUGAGACAUUUUUUGACAGAACGGGAAAGAGGUGACUUUUUUUCUUUCUUUUAGUGUUUUCGCGCUGUCCUUAGAAUACGCUUAAAAAACACACACACAAAAACAAAACAAAACGUGACAACAGUUUUUGGCAUGGCAUGGCAUGGCUUAUAUAAAUUAUAACAACUGUGGAUUUACUGGCUGGUAAUUAAAAUUUAAAA